AACGAACGCUGGCGGCAUGCCUAACACAUGCAAGUCGAACGAGACCUUCGGGUCUAGUGGCUCACGGGUGCGUAACGCGUGGGAACCUGCCCUUAGGUUCGGAAUAACUCCCCUAAAGGGGUGCUAAUACCGGAUAAUUUCUUCGGACCAAAGAUUUAUCGCCUUUGGAUGGGCCCGCGUUGGAUUAGCUUGUUGGUAGGGUAAAAGCCUACCAAGGCUACGAUCCAUAGCUGGUCUGAGAGGAUGAGCAGCCACACUGGGACUGAGACACGGCCCAGAAUACUACGGGAGGCAGCAGUGGGGAAUAUUGGAAAAUGGGGGAAAGCCUGAACCAGCAAUGCCGCGUGAGUGAUGAAGGACUUAGGGUUGUAAAGCUCUUUUACCCGGGAUGAUAAUGACAGUACCGGGAGAAUAAGCUCCGGCUAACUCCGUG
Molecule: ribosomal RNA, 433 nt
Filed under: uncultured bacterium
Lineage: Bacteria
Description: partial 16S ribosomal RNA
Rfam family: Bacterial small subunit ribosomal RNA
Source: RNAcentral